UACAGAGGUCCCAAGCGUUGUUCGGAUUCAUUGGGCGUAAAGGGUGCGUAGGCGGCGCGGUAAGUCGGGUGUGAAAUCUCGGGGCUUAACUUCGAAACUGCAUUCGAUACUGCCGUGCUUGAGGACUGGAGAGGAGACUGGAAUUUACGGUGUAGCGGUGAAAUGCGUAGAUAUCGUAAGGAAGACCAGUGGCGAAGGCGGGUCUCUGGACAGUUCCUGACGCUGAGGCACGAAGGUCAGGGGAGCAAACGGG
Molecule: ribosomal RNA, 253 nt
Filed under: uncultured bacterium
Lineage: Bacteria
Description: partial 16S ribosomal RNA
Rfam family: Bacterial small subunit ribosomal RNA
Source: RNAcentral